GGGUCUGUAGCUCUGGUAGCGUACGCCUGAUAAGCGUAAGGUGGUUUCGAGUCCACUCAGACCCACCA
RNAcentral lists this transfer RNA (68 nucleotides) under Vibrio cholerae. RNAcentral describes it as "tRNA-Ile". It matches the Rfam family "tRNA". Rfam says of the family: Transfer RNA (tRNA) molecules are approximately 80 nucleotides in length. Their secondary structure includes four short double-helical elements and three loops (D, anti-codon, and T loops). Further hydrogen bonds mediate the characteristic L-shaped molecular structure. tRNAs have two regions of fundamental functional importance: the anti-codon, which is responsible for specific mRNA codon recognition, and the 3' end, to which the tRNAs corresponding amino acid is attached (by aminoacyl-tRNA synthetases). tRNAs cope with the degeneracy of the genetic code in two manners: having more than one tRNA (with a specific anti-codon) for a particular amino acid; and 'wobble' base-pairing, i.e. permitting non-standard base-pairing at the 3rd anti-codon position. Lineage: Bacteria; Pseudomonadati; Pseudomonadota; Gammaproteobacteria; Vibrionales; Vibrionaceae. The record is from RNAcentral.